RNAcentral lists this transfer RNA (86 nucleotides) under Candidatus Woesearchaeota archaeon. Its description in RNAcentral is "tRNA-Leu". It matches the Rfam family "tRNA". Rfam says of the family: Transfer RNA (tRNA) molecules are approximately 80 nucleotides in length. Their secondary structure includes four short double-helical elements and three loops (D, anti-codon, and T loops). The record is from RNAcentral. Lineage: Archaea; Nanobdellati; Candidatus Woesearchaeota.
GCGAGGGUGGCAGAGCCUGGCCAAAUGCGCAGGACUUAAGAUCCUGUCCCUUAGUGGGUUCGUGGGUUCAAAUCCCUCCCCUCGCA